GAUUUUCAUACAACAUAAGCAUAAAAUAUCGACAUUAUCUCUUACACAGUUAAUGUAGUGUGCUAUAAACAUGGCAAUAACAGAAUGAACAGAUACACUAAUAAAUGACGUGUUCAAAGUAAGGAAGUAUGCGAUGAAUAACGGACUAUCAUGGGUCUGGUGUUUGAAGGCAAUCUUUAUAACGAUUCUCACGGCCAUACCUCUGGUCAUUUAUAUAGUAAACACAAAAGCUUAUGGUGGUCAUUAUCAGGUGUAUGGAUCAACACAUGCUAAGUGCGUUGGUAGCAAUGACGGAAUAACAUCAGAAGUAGUAAAGAGGAGAAACGAACUAUCUAGACAAUUAAAUGAUAUGAGCAAAAAAAUAGGACAAAUAGAAUGUGAGAGACAACAAGUUAACAGAAGGGGUGGCUGGUGCAAGCAUUUAAGUAUGGAAACAACUGGAGAACAUAAAACUGAUUUUAAACUUGUAAAGGCUUUAUCACGAUUCCUUGAAGGCAAAAAUGUAGGGAGCUUUGGUGAUGGACCUGGUGUUUACAAGCGUGAAAUCCUCAAAUUAGGACAGGUCAGAUAUUAUGACGCAUAUGACGGAGCGCCAUUUUGUGAGGAAACAAGUGAAGGGAGAGUUCAAUAUAUGGAUUUAACCAUUGCACAAUACGGAAUACCUCUUUAUGACUGGAUUUUGUCUCUAGAAGUAGCUGAACAUAUACCGCAACAGUAUGAGAGUGUUUAUUUAGAUAACAUAUUCAGACAUGCUCGGGAGGGUAUAAUAUUGAGUUGGGCUGUACCGGGACAGGGAGGAAUGAGUCAUAUUAAUAAUAAACCACUUAGUUAUGUGAUUAAUUUGAUGAAGAAUAAUGGGUUUGUCAGAGACGAGGAGCUAUCAAAACUAUUAAGAAAGUCUACAUCGCUAUGGUGGUUACAGCAAAAUACAAAUGUUUAUAAACGAGUUGAUUUUCUGAAGUUAAAAAAUGAGACCUAUUUGAGUCAGUACUAUGCAUAGCUGCUUAAAUGAGGAAAUAAUUCAGCAAAACUUUUAGGAAAAAAGUUUCGUUAGCAAUUUGAAGAACCUUUGCUGCAUGAAAUGAUUUAAACGUUAAGUAACUGUGCUUUAACAAUUACACUCCAGUUCUAUUGUUAUACUUCAUAGUUUCUAUUUCUGAAACAAGUGUAAAUUUAAUAGAUCUAUUGUUACGAAUAACAAUGGAUUUUGACCACAGGGUGUGACGAGCGGGGUUUCUGGAAACCCCUGCUUCUACAUCCUGAAAACACAGUCCAUUGUUAUUCAUUACAAUAGAAAUUGAUUUUUUUUUAAAAAGCAUGAACAUAAGAAAUUAUUAAUAGUGUUCACUACAAGUUGUUUCAAGAUAUCAAAAAAAUAUUUUAGGAAAUUCCAAUAGCGAAAAAAUUAUUAAGCAUCUAUUUUGAAUAAAAAAAAACUUUUAAAGGAAAAAUAAUUUGAUUGAUAGCGUCAAAUGGACAAUCUCAUUGGGCGAAAUUGCCUGUGAUAAACGAUGAUUGAAAGCAAAGCAGUUUCAGGACAAUAUUUCGUUGGAGUAUGCCAAACACGUGUGACUUUUUGACUAUGUUAAAUGAUUUUAAUGGAACCCUUACGUCAAAGAAGGCCGUGCCGUUCUUGGUGCUUAAUAUUGUUUUUGUCUGUAUUUUAACUAUUUAUGGUAUUAUGAUUUUAAUUGAUAUUCUUGUUACGGAGUUUUCUUUUAGGUAGCUAGAGAUAACCGUUGUUACACUUACCAUAGAGAAGCUAAUGUAUUUUUCUUUUUUAUAAUUCGAAGUCAUUAACAACAUUAAACAUAAUGUCAUAAAAUGAAUGUUAGCAAAUGAACGUAUGUAUGUGUGUAUUUGUGCGAAUGAGUAGGAAUGAUAGUUUGGCUUUUUUUCAAAUGGCUUGUAAUGAAAAUAAAGUCACGUCAAUGUUUAAAUCAAUAAGGAAACGACCAUCUAACUUGAGUAUGUUUUUUUCUUUCUUUUCUUUACUACACAAGCAUCAAAUUAUUUAUUUUUUCGACAUGCAAUUUGAAAAAUGUUUUAAGAACUUAACAUUAAGAUUUAAUGGAAAAAACUUUCAAUCUGAUUUUUUGUUUUCUUCUCCCUGAUCAAAAUAUUAUUUUUCUUUAACGUUGGGAAUCAGAAAAAAUGUUCCCCCCCCCUUUCAGAAUUAGAUGGUCGUUCCCUAAAUGAAUUGAAAAGUCAUCAAUAAAUAUAGCAGUAAAACUGCACAAUAAAUUUAUUUCUAAUUUAACAAAAUUAUACGCGGACAAUUUUAGAAAGGUUUGGGAUAAGUCAUAUCAGUCCCGAAGAAAAAUCAAAUAUGUGUCUGAUGUACACAAUUGCAAACACUAUUGUUUAACAGCAAUCGGGAACACAGAUUUUCUAGUAUCUGCCGUACUAAAAGCCGGUAAUAGGGGUAUAUGGUGUAUAUGGUAUGGGUUUUCCUUAUCGUUGGGUACCAGUACAGAAGAUGUUAACAUAGUUGUCUCAUUGGAAAUCAUACCACGUCUCAUCAUUUUUCAUAUUAUCACGUGAACUAUUUUGUGUGCAUUGUUGACCGCAAGCAAAAUUAGUUAAUAAUUUAUAUGACUGCGGAUAAACCACUUAAAAUUGGAUUAGGUAAAUCGAGUCUAAAAAAUUGUAUCGAUAUAAAAGAUUUAUUGUAGGAAGGGCGUCAUUGAAACUGAUAGUGAGCAUUUUAUAUUGCUUUUCAAGGACUUUUUAUUCUGUAAAUUGUAUAUAAUCCCACAAAUAGAAUAUGUACUUUCCUAUGGAAUAGUGCACAAAAGAACAUGUUUUUAUGUAUUAUGGAAAUAUUUAAGUAUGAAUUCGUUAAAACCUAGUUGAUUUAAAAAAGAAAUAACCAUGAACGACAACAGGAUAUUUACUAAUACUUGAUUCUCACAUUUUAAAGCGGAAUAUCGCUAUUAGUAGUCAGACUGGAUUUAUCUUGUCAAAACUCAGAAAAAUCGCUGUGCAUAGCAUUUACAUUUGAAAGAUAUCAGUUGUCUGUUGGACGCAAAUAUUACAUGACUGUCACUGUCGUAUGAGCCGGUGGGGGUAGGGGCAUGUUUUGUAUCUUUAUUUAUUUUUUGCUUAUCACGUUCGGAAUUUCCCUCGCCACUUUUCAAUCCACUCCUACGCCACUGUAACGUGAAGGAAUUCAAAAUUUGAAAACUGUUGAUUUGACCAGUUUAUUAGAAAGUGACGUAAUAGAAAUCCACUCAGUUGAAACCUAAACAUUUUGAAAUGUCAAGUUAUAAUCACAGUUUCCGUACCAUAGAAGCUUGGGACAUGGAUUCCAUCCUUUUUCUAUAUUAUGUAUAUGUAUUCUGUGUUAAUUUUCCACGUGGAAAAUAAGAAUAGAGGGACAUAAUGUAUGAACUACUGAUGUUGUGAUAUCGUAUGGAUAGAUGCAAGAACACAUUAAAUGCGUGAACAUAAAUUAAAAUAUUAAAGAUUAUUCCAUAUCAAUUAAUAUCACUUUAGAAGUUUUUUUUUAUAUAUGUAAUGGAUUUUUAAUAAAACAUCAUAUUCACCUGAGGAAAAAGUAUAUUAACCGCGCAAAAUGUCGCGUGCUUUAACGUGUACAAAUUAUGGUCAAUUGUUUGAUGUACAAUUGGAUUUUGAAAAUAAUUGUCAUUCCAUACUUUCUCUCUCUCGGAUUACGGAAUAAGACAAUUACUGUCUUUUGUUUCAGUAAAUAUGUGGUUUAAUUGACUUUUGAAAAAAACUAAUAUUCACCAUCUGAGGCCAACGGCCUCAGUGAAUAUCAGUUUUUCAAAAGUCAAUAAAACCACGCAUUUACCUCAUCAAAAGUCAGUAAUUGUAUAAUAUUUCCAUAUUUACCCCCAUAAAAUAAAACACACAAAAAUAGAAAGAAAGAAGGGGAGGGCGGUUUCCAUGCCCAAAGCGCCAUUGGUCCACGCUAUAUAAUAUAUCGGUAUCAUAAAUAACACAAACACCUUAUAAAUCAGCUUUUAGUAGGUGUACCUCUAGUAAAUAUGUAGGACUCUUAAGUGAGAUGGGGACCCCAAAACGUGAUAGUUACGCUAAAGUGCGAUUGUUUGGUAUGCUAAAGUGCGAUGCUAUGUGCUAUUCAAUGAAACACGAUAAAGUGCGUUUUCCCGCGAAAAUAAGGACGCAAUUAUAUAAUUCAAGCUUUAGACGGUCCCUCUACGCGUUGUGUGUGUUGUAUUUAAUAAACCUGGGAGUAGUUUAUUGAUAUACAAUGACCCAGAAUAAACUGAUUAUUUCUGAACGUUUAUCAUUUGAUAUUUAGUAUUUCAAUCAUAGUAUGAGAAAAUGUCGGAAAGAAUGAAGAAAAUUAAGAAAACGAUAUUUCUGUUAAAAAUAUUCAUCUAAGGUAGGAAACACAGUGGUCGGAAAGCAGAAAGAUAAUCAAACAAAAGGAUUUUUCUGUAAAAAAAUAUCUAAUUUCAUUAAUAGAUACUACCAGACUAAGAGAAUAUUCAUUGUUAAGGUAAAACUGAGACUGAAUUUAUUCCUAAUAGUUAUAGAAUAUAAUCAAAAUUGUGAUGUAUACGUGCACUACGUCUCACAGGUUGAGUCAGUCAUUACAUUUAUGAAAAUUAUAUGUAACGUAUGAGCACCAAUGAGCAGGGAUGCGUACCAGAGUUAGCUAAAUAUCUAAAUUUUAAAAGGUCGUGAAUGAAAAAAAAACUUGCGUGGUUUCAAUUCACAAGGAUUUUAAAUCCUUGCAUCUCACAAAAAACGUAAUUAAUAUUUUACAAUAAUCAUAACAAAAUUUAAUUACUAUCAUAAUGUUAAUUUUUUUUUUUCAUUUUUUUUCUUUUAUUAGUUCAACCUUAUAGCAUCUUAAUAUUUGUACUAUGGUACGAUUUUGAAAAUUGUAUUCAUUGUGUUGGUCAGCUAUCCUACACGUCUUGAUUCAUACACAUUAUACAUCACCCUGUUCACACGCACACACUCGGUUUGCGUUCACAAAAAAUCCGGAUAAAAUGUCAAUGAAUCCGGAGUAAAAACACUUGAGGUAGGUAGUUUGACAUCCGAAUUCAACUAUUAGAUUAAUAUAUGUGAUGACGCAAAUGCGUAUUUUUAUCCAGAGUAUCAGUGCGCAUGCUUUCUAUUUACUAUUUCUUGCGCAAAAAUACCACGUUCAUGCAUAAAUAUUAAUUUCACUCGCGAAUGCGAAUUUUCGCUUUUCUUAUCUUAAUUCUGGACACGGUAAUAAGAGCUUGCCAUGUGACUUUCAAGCACGGUCAUCAUUGCUUAUGGUAUUCUGACCUCUAGCUGUUUCUCUUUUGUUUUCUUUUUUGAGUCACUGUCCUUUUAUAAACUUUGACAUUUUCAAAAUGCCAUGGAUUUUCUACCCAAGGAAUAGAUUACCUAACUUCGUACUUUAUUUAGCCUUUUUAACUAUUUUUAUUCGAGCGUCACUGAUGAUUCUUUGUAGACCUAACUCGCGUCUGGCGUACAACAUGUUAAUCCUGGUAUUUUUUUUUUAUAUCUACAUGUCUUUUUAUAUAAAUUGGUUCUUUUGAGAGUAUGUUCAGGUAUUCAUAAAACUUCUGAAAAUAAGAUAUUCUUCAAAACCAAGUUUCUCUGUAAAAUAUUUGGAUUGCUUUAAGUAAAAUCAGGAAAUCCUUAAAAUUUGAGAUGUUUUAUGAGACCAAAAUAAGUCUCUACAUAAGAGGUCCAAAUGAAGCUGGUGUGUUACUCUCAAGAAAAAUAUACGAAACCUUCUUAUAAGUUGCAUGCCACAGGGUUUCAUUUCACAUGGAAAAUGAACUUUAAAUUUAUCUGUACAACAUCUACCAUGAGUACAGACAUCUUCAAUAACGAGUUGAGAAUAUGAAGGCAUCCAUGCAGGAAACAAAAUAUAAAGAUGUGAUAGAUAAAAUAAAUGCAUCCAGAUUAUAAAGCAAACUGAGUGCUUAAAUUUAUAUUGCGAUUGGUUUGUGCAAUUUGCAUUAUACAUCCGGUUUGUAGAAUCUGGGAUUUUCAAUAGGAUUAUAAAAAAAAUGAUGUAAUACAUGAAAUAGUCGAGCUUUAAAAUGUAUAUUCAAAUAGUAGCUGUAUAUACACUUUUCUAUUCACACCUAUGAUCCAACAUUUGCUUUCAACUGACUUGUGCAAGAAUGUACACACUAUUACAUAUUUUUAAUAAAGGUAGUUUAACUUCAUCAUUAUCUCCUUCUAUUCACGGUCAAUUAUUUCAAUUUAAAAGCAAACAAACAUUCAGCAACAAUCUUUUGGUGACCAGUCAGCGGUCUUAGGUUCACGUAUUGCUUUUCUUUUAUUAAAGAAAGCAACUUGUUUUUAAUUUGGACCAAUACAGUUAUGUACAUAUGUAUCAAGAAUUAAUGUUAUUGGAGCUUAUUUCCUAAUGCUUGUAGAGUAAGACUUUGGUAAGCUUGCUUGCUUUAUUUGUGUAAACGUUUGCCCAAGCAUAUAAUUAAGAUUGACUUCUGCAAACGAUAUAAAUAAGCGGAGUUGAACCUGUACACAUUAUACUUAAAUUUAGUUAGAUGUUAUCCUGGAGGUUAGGAACACCCAAUUGUACAUGUAAACAUUACAGGACAAAUAUUUUUCACACAUUUGAUAAGCUGUAUUUUAUAACAUUACAUAACAUUACUGGGCAAAUAAAUAAAGAAUAGAGAAAAAUGGUAUAAAAAUUAAAGAAUACAGAAAUAAAGGACCCCCAUCCAGGUCCUGUUGUAUUGUUUGGUGUAGCUUCCUUAUGAUAGGUUAUUAUAAUUAUCAAUACAAAUGUAUUAUUUUAGGUAUACUGACCAAAGAAAGAAAUCAGAUAGUUUGCAUACGGCCAAGAUUAAAGCCGUUAUUUCCUAAAACUUGUCAAGCUAUAUUUUAGGCAUCUCACUUUUGGUGGUUUCAUGAGAUAUCUAUACAUUGCCAAAAACGUAAAGAUGGGUAGAUUAACUAUAUACCGCCAUCUUGGAUUGUGAAAUAGCAGUUCACAAUAGUUCUAGUUCUUUGCUUAAAUCUGCAAAUUUUGAGACAGAUUUGUAAUUAAUGUGUUAGACUUUUAUUGGAUUAGACAAAUAAGUGAUUUAUUGCAUCAUUUGGACUUAUUCACCAAAUACCAAAUAUUUGUGUUUGUUCUAAUCAAAUUGUCAACUUAGCCAUUUAAGGGGAGAUAACUCAA
This is a long non-coding RNA of Mytilus californianus (California mussel), 7159 nucleotides long. RefSeq lists it as uncharacterized. The record is from RefSeq and is a predicted model, not a curated record. The transcript is spliced from 3 exons. NCBI's taxonomy places the organism in Eukaryota, Metazoa, Mollusca, Bivalvia, Mytilida, Mytilidae.